Molecule: ribosomal RNA, 879 nt
Filed under: uncultured bacterium
Lineage: Bacteria
Description: bacterial SSU rRNA
Rfam family: Bacterial small subunit ribosomal RNA
Source: RNAcentral
CAGGAAUAACGCUGGCGGCGUGCCUAAUACCACCCAAGUCGAAACGGGGCUUUGUAUUCGUACAUAGCCUAGUGGCGAACGGGUGAGUAACGCGUUGGUGACCUGCCCUGAAGAGAGGGACAACAGCUCGAAAGGGCUGCUAAUACCUCAUGUGGUCGUAAGGAUUAGAGGCCUUACGUCUAAACGGAGUAAUUCGCUUCGGGAGGGGCCUGCGUCCCAUCAGCUUGUUGGUAAGGUAACGGCCUACCAAGGCUUCGACGGGUAGGGGACCUGAGAGGGUGACCCCCCACACUGGCACUGAAACACGGGCCAGACACCUACGGGUGGCAGCAGUAGGGAAUAUUGCACAAUGGGCGAAAGCCUGAUGCAGCAACGCCGCGUGCACGAUGAAGGCCUUCGGGUCGUAAAGUGCUUUUCGGGGAGAUGAGAAAGGACAGUAUCUCCGGAAUAAGGAUCGGCUAACUACGUGCCAGCAGCCGCGGUAAAACGUAGGAUCCGAGCGUUAUCCGAAUUUACUGGGCGUAAAGCGCGUGCAGGCGGUUCGGUAAGUUGGAUGUGAAAUCUCCUGGCUCAACUGGGAGAGGUCGUUCAAUACUGUCGGACUAGAGGGCGGUAGAGGGAGGUGGAAUUCCCGGUGUAGUGGUGAAAUGCGUAGAUAUCGGGAGGAACACCAGUGGCGAAAGCGGCCUCCUAGGCCGCUCCUGACGCUCAGACGCGAAAGCUAGGGGAGCGAACGGGAUUAGAAACCCCGGUAGUCCUAGCCGUAAACGAUGUGAACUUGGCGUUGGUGGGGUAAAAGCCAUCAGUGCCGAAGCUAACGCGAUAAGUUCACCGCCUGGGGACUACGGCCGCAAGGUUAAAACUCAAAGGAAUUGACGG